ACAGUUUCCCACGGGAGACGUUCGUUAUAUUUUGGACGAUAUGUAAUAAUAAACGCUAAUCGCAAUAAUUGAAGGAAAAAAUAGUAAUCAUAUUCACGUGGACGCGAUUCCGAAGAUGGAGCACUCCGGAUACAUAAUUAUUAUCACAGGUACGUGCAUUCUGUGUAUAGACUUUACGAAGUCAUAUCCGAAUAUCCGCGUUAAUAGACAGUAUUUUAAGGGUUUUCGAGGUGUUACAAACUGAAGUUUGUUAGACAUGUCGGCGUAUUAACGUUAACGUUUUAGGUUUUAUUUUCGUUUUUCGACUCGGGAGCCGUGUUAAGGAGGCGUGAUAAAGAAUACAUAUUUUCCCCCGGAUCUAAUCAACUCGUUAAUGUUUACGGACGUCGCGUAUUAAUUAAUAUAAUGCGAUUGAUAAAAACGGUUUUUGGCUUAGAAAAACACUUAUAUCGAUUUUAAUUUUUAAUUUUUUCCAUUCCCUAUAGGAAUCGAUACGACCUAUGUAAACCGAACCCCCGGGCGAGCACUAUACCGGAUUAUAUCGUGUAGGUCAGUUUUUUUAAUUCGCUCGUUAGGCGUACAAACGAUUGAACGUUUCUAUAUUUUCGCUCACGCUAUACGUGUCAUACGCGUAUUGUAAUUAGAACGCGUUUUCGGUAUGUAUCAUAAUAAUCAAAUGUAUUGCGUAGUAGGCGAGUAUACCUAAUUUAUGUCCGCAGAGAUUGUGCUACAUCAUAAUAUUAUGUAUAUAAUAUAUAGUAAUAAUAAUUACAAUAAUAGCGUAACUGACAGCGUCACACAACUGUGUAACUACAGCGAUUAUAUUAAUAUAGUAUAAUAUUGUAGCUGUUGUACGUACAGAUUUUUUUAAAGAUUUGUCGUGGAAAAACGUUUGAAAAUCCGUUGAAAUCCGCCUGAUGCUCGAAC
Non-coding RNA from Cinara cedri, 927 nucleotides. Lineage: Eukaryota; Metazoa; Arthropoda; Insecta; Hemiptera; Aphididae. The record is from the annotation of a GenBank genome assembly.